RNAcentral lists this ribosomal RNA (490 nucleotides) under uncultured bacterium. Its description in RNAcentral is "partial 16S ribosomal RNA". It matches the Rfam family "Bacterial small subunit ribosomal RNA", at positions 28 to 507 of the family's 1533-position model. The record is from RNAcentral.
GAUGAACGCUAGCUACAGGCUUAACACAUGCAAGUCGCGGGGCAGCAUGGGGGUUGCUUGCAAUCCCCGAUGGCGACCGGCGCACGGGUGAGUAACGCGUAUCCAACCUGCCCUUCACCACGGGAUAACCCGGCGAAAGUCGGACUAAUACCGUAUGUUGUCCAUUGACGGCAUCCGAUUUGGACGAAAGGCUUGGCGGUGAGGGAUGGGGAUGCGUCCGAUUAGCCAGACGGCGGGGUAACGGCCCACCGUGGCUACGAUCGGUAGGGGUUCUGAGAGGAAGGUCCCCCACACUGGAACUGAGACACGGUCCAGACUCCUACGGGAGGCAGCAGUGAGGAAUAUUGGUCAAUGGGCGUAAGCCUGAACCAGCCAAGUAGCGUGCAGGAUGACGGCCCUAUGGGUUGUAAACUGCUUUUAUGUGGGGAUAAAGUGGCCCACGUGUGGGCUUUUGCAGGUACCGCAUGAAUAAGGACCGGCUAAUUCCGUG